This is a long non-coding RNA of Thalassophryne amazonica, 152 nucleotides long. RefSeq lists it as uncharacterized. The record is from RefSeq and is a predicted model, not a curated record. NCBI's taxonomy places the organism in Eukaryota, Metazoa, Chordata, Actinopteri, Batrachoidiformes, Batrachoididae. The transcript is spliced from 3 exons.
AGAUGAUGGAAGCCACUUUGGUCGUUGGGAUCUUCAAAGCAGUAGAAAUGUUUCUGUACCCUUCCCCAGAUGUGUGUCUCAAGACAACCCUGUCUCUGAGAUCUACAGACAAUUCCUUUGACUUCAUGCUUGGUAUGUACUAUGACUGUCAA